AAGGCCUGGGUGGGCUGGGAUGGAGAGGGCGUCGCGCUGAAAUUGCGCAUGCGCAUCCCUGGAACCCGAAGUUGGUUUGUUCCGAGCAGCGUAUUUCAAUAUCGCGCGCGGAAACCAGCUGGCUGAUGCAGUGCUUGCCAGAGUUUGCCAAAUUAAGAAAACGGUUCCUCAAUUUUAAAAGAAGGAGAGUUGACAGUACCUUCUUCAUAAUAUUGCUGUGAGGAUUAAAUGAAAAUAAGUAAAGUGCAUAGAAUAGUGUCUGGCCCGAGAUCUUCUCUGGAGAAGCAUACUGCUAUCACGUUUAAGUAAUGUGUGGUCUUCAUCAUGCCCAAAACACUAUACGGAGCAUUUAAACGCGUGAUACCUAUGCAAUUUACUGUAUUUGCAAAGUGAAAGCAUGCCCUUUACACAGCUAUGAUUGAAAUGUGCCAGAUACUUGAAGGAAUUUAAAAGGAUUAAGAGAUCGUCCCUACCUUCAAGGAGUUUCCAGUCUUAUACAGACCUUUAGGAUCUAAAGAUUGAAUCUCUUUUAGUGAGCCUCCAAAAUGAAAAAUUAAUGGAUAAAUGGAAUAGUAAGGUUUAUUUAUUUUUGUUGAAUUGUGCUCAAUAUCUUGCCUGACACCACCUGUGAUAAAUCUGCUUUUUUUACUCUCUCUGGAAAACAUGUGAAUCACAGCUGAUGGAGAAACAAUCAUUAUCAUCAAUUCUUGUUGUCUUGGCUACCACUGGGUGGAUGGCGCUGAUUCUAACAGACGCUAGCCUGCCAAAUGCUCGGGAUGCUCCAUCAAUCACUGGGUCAAGAUCCACCUCUAGUCACACUAGAGGGAAGGACUUCUGGAGAUUGCACAGCCGGGAUAUCAGCUCAUUCCUCAAAUAACCCUAGUAAUUUUGUGGAAAUAAAAAUUUAACUACUGUAUCACACUGUGAUUUGGAAGAACUGAACUGUUAUUGUCCUAUCACAAUUUUCCUAUACAGAAGAUAGACUUUUCAGAUCUGAUGUAGUUUCUUGGUUUUGAAAGUUAAGAUCUCCUGGGAAAUGCGAAUUUCUGUUUAGAGAAUUUCCUCCCCCUCUAUCAGUCAUGUCAGAGUUGUUUUUAUUAUAACAUUUGUUUUACAAUGUAAGAUUUUCCUUUCCAUCUUGACAUAAUUGCUAGUGGUUAUCAAAACUAGGCAAUGUUGAACACGAGAACCUGAACAGAAAAGAAGUAAUGCAAAUUACUUGGUCAGAAAACCUCUCAAAGGACUUAAAUAGAUUUGGAAUGAAAGAUGCAAGACUACAUUAAAUUUAAAUAACUUGCCAUAUAAAUGUUGAAAAACAAUUACCAAAUCUUUAAAAUUGCAAGGACCAGGAUUAAAGGUUUAAAAGAAAUUCAUUUUCUCUCUUACAGAAACUUAAUCCUCCUUUUAAUGUGCUUUCUUCUCGCAACUCUGCGAUUUAUCUGUGUGUAUUUGCAUUUAUCGUAUUUUUUUCCGGUUUUUCUUCCUUAUUAUAUCGUAAUCUCCUUUGUGGGCAGGGGCCACUGCAAAUCUUUAAUUGUGCCAGAUGUCUCUGACUACUGA
Long non-coding RNA from Equus caballus (horse), 1560 nucleotides. The record is from Ensembl. NCBI's taxonomy places the organism in Eukaryota, Metazoa, Chordata, Mammalia, Perissodactyla, Equidae.